AACGAACGCUGGCGGCAGGCCUAACACAUGCAAGUCGAGCGAGGACUUCGGUCCUAGCGGCGGACGGGUGAGUAACGCGUGGGAACGUGCCCUUUGCUUCGGAAUAGCCCUGGGAAACUGGGAGUAAUACCGGAUGAGCCCUUUGGGGGAAAGAUUCAUCGGCGAAGGAUCGGCCCGCGUUGGAUUAGGUAGUUGGUGGGGUAAUGGCCUACCACGCCGACGAUCCAUAGCUGGGUUGAGAGGAUGAUCAGCCACACUGGGAGGGGGACGCGGCCCAGACUCCUACGGGAGGCAGCAGUGGGGGAUCUUAGACAAUGGGGGAAAUCCUGAUCUAGCCAUGCCGCGUGAGCGAUGAAGGCCUUAGGGUUGUAAAGCUCUUUCAGCUGGGAAGAUAAUGACGGUACCAGCAGAAGAAGCCCCGGCUAACUCCGUG
Molecule: ribosomal RNA, 433 nt
Filed under: uncultured bacterium
Lineage: Bacteria
Description: partial 16S ribosomal RNA
Rfam family: Bacterial small subunit ribosomal RNA
Source: RNAcentral